This is a long non-coding RNA of Hipposideros armiger (great roundleaf bat), 3209 nucleotides long. RefSeq lists it as uncharacterized. The record is from RefSeq and is a predicted model, not a curated record. The transcript is spliced from 3 exons. Lineage: Eukaryota; Metazoa; Chordata; Mammalia; Chiroptera; Hipposideridae.
UUUACUAGGUGGAGUUUCUUUUUAAAAAAUUACAUUGUCAUAGGAACACUGAACGUGAAGUCUGCCCUCUUAACACAUUUUUAAGAGACCCAUGCGGUCUUGGUGACUUGGCACAACGUUGUACAGCAGGUCUCUGGAGAUACUCAUCUCGCUUCACUGAAAACUUGUGCCCGUUGCUCAGCAGUCCCAUCGCCCUCCCCCAGCUCUGGCAACCACCAUUCCACGCUUCGGUUCUAUGAAUUUGACUUCCCCAGGCAUCUCAGGUGAGUGGACGCUCACGGCGCUUGUCCUUCUGUGACUGGCUCAUUUCACUCAGCAUUUGUCCUCGGGUUCCCACAUUGUGGAAUUUUUCUUUUUAAGGCUGAGUAAUAUUUCCACUGUAUGGAUGGACUACAUGUUAUUAUCCAUUCAUCUUUUGAUGGACUUUUAGGUUGUUUGCACAUCUUGACAAUUGCGGAUAAUUUUUAAAUGCUUAGACUUUGGAAUGUAUGCGGGUAUGUACAUCUGAGCAUGUGUGCACCUGAUCUGGAAGUUUCCUUCAAGUAAAGUAGCUCUUCCUCGUCAGGGCACAGCUGUCAACCAACGAGGCCAGACUCGCGGGGGCCAGCGGCCAAGCUGUGCCCCACCCAGGGUGCUUUCUGUCCAUCCGGGUUCCUAGACAGGGGCUGGCCGGUCACAGGGCGAAGAGACAGGACCCAGAGGCCAGCGAAUAAGGGGCUUGAUGAGGAUUAAUAAGCCAAAGCAGAAGUGUGGUCCUGUUAGGAUCAUUGAAGCUGUGCUAUAAACACACAUAUACAUGAAAACAAACGACUUUCUAAGAUAACUGAGCGUUAGUUUCCGAGGGCUGCCAUUGACAAAUGACCACAAACGAGGUGUCUUCACACACCAGAGUUUACGCUCACAGGUUCCAGAGGCAGGAGGUCCCGAGGUCAAGGCUCUGGCGGGCCAGGCGCCCUGAGGCUCUAGGGAGGCCCCUGCCCGACCCGGCCUCGGGCUGCGUGGGCCUCGGUGGUGCCCCCGCUUGGAGCUGCGUCCCACCAGCCUUGGCGGCUUCCCCUGCCUAUGUGCCUCUCCUCAUAAGGACACCAGUCAUUUUGGAUUAGGGGCUCACCCUGCUGCAGUGUCACCUCAUUUUAAGUAACUACUUACAUCUGCAAAGACCCUAUUUCCAAAUAAGGUCUCAUUCUGAGGGCCCCAGUGAACAUGAAUUUGGGGGGACACUAUUCGAUCCAAUACACUCAGCAAACUUGAGCUGGUAAUGCUGGUCCUCCCCUUUGCACGCCGUGAGAGGGACACGCUGGGAACUGCUGAUAACCUGCCACAGAAGCUGUUUCCGAAGCCCAGCCAAUCAAGUGACAGAAUGAGGUCAGGCGUCCAGGAGCUCCUGGGAUAACCGCCUUGUCCCCAGUGUGUGUGGGUGCGGGGAGAAGGGGGGACGUCAUUCCCACAGACAGAUGCCUCUAAUAGCGGCUUCAGGUUCUCCUUUCAAAGCCAGCACUGGGUCUGCGCAAGUGGGGGCUGUGAGUGUGUCUGCGUGGUGCACACGUGCAUGCAUGUGAGCUGCUCCUGUGAACGAGAACCCGGGAUAAAGCCGCCUGGAGAAGGGGCUUUCUUCAGCCAGGAGGCAGCUCCGCACUGAGCUCCUCUGCAGGGAAAGGAUAUCGCCGUAGGGACACACAUGAGAGGAUUUCACCCCAUUUGCUUCUCCCAACGGUCCUUUAAGGCAAGUACUAUGAAGAUCCCCAACUCACCAACACAGAUGAAGACCUGUGGCUUGGAGAAGCUCAGACCCUUCUGAAGGGAAGGCAGCGCCAGGGCGGCAAGGUCCUCCUGGCACGGAGCCUGGCUCUCACCUGUGGGACACUGAUACCCAUGAGCUGCGAGUGCAAAUCUCACCCGUGGGCCCAUGCGGGCGGCCCCUCUGGUUUUGUGGUGCCUGCGUUCACUCAGACACGCAUCUCCCACCCCAGUAAAGGCAGCCAUGGGAACCUGUUCCUACAACAACCGGUCCUCAGUGAGGAGAACGCCACACGGGGACCACGCCUUUAGUUUCCAGGGGCUAAGACAGCCUGCUCUGCGUUCUGCCACCCUUAACUUUUUCUCUGACACCUGUGAUGCCAAAUGGAAACAGGCUCGGUCAGAGAGCACGCAGAGCCUGGCCCGCCGUUUCCCAAGCAACAUUUCCAUUUUAGCUCGGGUUAGAUGGAGUCCCAUCCUAGCUUUUUCGUGGUCGCCUGUGACCCGGGAUCAGAGGUGACUACCGGCCGACAGCACCCACCCCUCACUGUGACCCUCCCCCGGCAGAGUUCCUCCCAGUGACCUUGGCCUUGUGCUCGGCCCUUGGUCCACAGACCCACCCAAUCCUUGGCCUCCAUCCAUUUGAUUGCUGUGCUAUUUUUGAGGAAGAAAGGGAAGUCUUCUGCAGAGACUCAGAAAUGGCAAAGAACUUGACGCUGAGGCUCUUGGCCCCUGGAGCCACAGGAACCACAGUCAUCAGGGAAAGGCAAGUAGAAACUCCGAUGAGACAUCUCUGUACGCCCAUCAGAAUGGCUAAAAUGAAAAGGACGGGGAAAUACAGGUAUUUGUAAAUAUGCUUGUAAAUAUUUUUUAAUAGUUUGAAAAUAUAUGAAUAUCUGAACAGACUGUUUUUACACAAGUGCCAUUAUACUAGUCAUGCCAUCUUGCCACUCAUUUUUUAUUUUAUGAUAUAUGGUGGUCACUGUGAAAAUUAGUAAAGGGAAACCUCAAUAAAAUGGAGUCAGGAGGCCAGAAGGGGGCGCUCUCACACAGGACCUACGGCUCCAUGUCAGUCACAGGAAGAAUGUCAAUUACAGAUCCCAACAGAAUUGUCAACAGGAAACAAUCACCAAUUACAGGCCCUGACAGGAAAAGAUGGAUGUUGCAUCUCCUACAAGAAAUUGGCUGCCCCAGCAACUCAGCCAAGGAGAAACGGUCAUCUCCCUCAACUAUGGAUUUUCUCCAAUGGACUUUUGUUCAAAACAACCCCUCCCAACUUCCUCCUUUUUCCCCAUAACAUAACGUUCCUCUCUUUUGUUUGUUGGACUUACUUAAAGCUUUUGCUAUAGCUUGCCUGUCCUGAAUUGCAAUUCUUCGCUGUUCCCGAGUAAACCAUUUUUGAUGGUAAAAUAACUGACUUUUAUUUUUAAGGUCAAGAGCACUUUUUUUUUUUAAUUGGGGAAUUAGGGGAU